This 230-nucleotide ribosomal RNA is filed under the name Aspergillus laciniosus. RNAcentral's name for it is "partial 28S ribosomal RNA". It matches the Rfam family "Eukaryotic large subunit ribosomal RNA", at positions 1 to 228 of the family's 3401-position model. Lineage: Eukaryota; Fungi; Ascomycota; Eurotiomycetes; Eurotiales; Aspergillaceae. The record is from RNAcentral.
UUGACCUCGGAUCAGGUAGGGAUACCCGCUGAACUUAAGCAUAUCAAUAAGCGGAGGAAAAGAAACCAACAGGGAUUGCCUCAGUAACGGCGAGUGAAGCGGCAAGAGCUCAAAUUUGAAAGCUGGCCCCUUCGGGGUCCGCAUUGUAAUUUGCAGAGGAUGCUUCGGGUGCAGCCCCCGUCUAAGUUGCCCUGGAACGGGCCGUCAUAGAGGGUGAGAAUCCCGUCUGG